Plasmodium adleri (nom. inval.) is the source of this 275-nucleotide non-coding RNA. The record is from RefSeq and is a predicted model, not a curated record. NCBI's taxonomy places the organism in Eukaryota, Apicomplexa, Aconoidasida, Haemosporida, Plasmodiidae.
UACAUAUAUGUGUUUUAUUUAUAUACUGCUUUUUUUUUUUUUUUUUUUUUUUUUUUUUUUUUUUUUUUUGUAAUACAUUUUUGUUUUGUUGUUCAUCCUAUAAUAUCUCAUUAUCUUGUUCAUGUUUUAAAAAAAACAUUAUUGUAAAUAUAAAGUUAAAAGAUUGGAAAAUGUAUAUAUAUUUUCACAUAUAACAUAUGCCCUAAAAAAAAUAUUACAUAUAUAUAUAUUAUAUACAUAUGCCAUAUAUUUUCAUUUUAUUUUUCUUUUGUCAA